This 481-nucleotide ribosomal RNA is filed under the name Actinomyces israelii. RNAcentral describes it as "bacterial SSU rRNA". It matches the Rfam family "Bacterial small subunit ribosomal RNA", at positions 28 to 486 of the family's 1533-position model. Lineage: Bacteria; Bacillati; Actinomycetota; Actinomycetes; Actinomycetales; Actinomycetaceae. The record is from RNAcentral.
GACGAACGCUGGCGGCGUGCUUAACACAUGCAAGUCGAACGGGUCUGCCUUGUUUUUUGCGGGGUGGGUCAGUGGCGAACGGGUGAGUAACACGUGAGUAACCUGCCCCUCACUUCUGGAUAACCGCUUGAAAGGGUGGCUAAUACGGGGUGUUCUGGCUGUGCCGCAUGGUGUGGCUGGGAAAGAUUCACUUUUGUGGUGUUUUGGUGGGGGAUGGGCUCGCGGCCUAUCAGCUUGUUGGUGGGGUGAUGGCCUGCCAAGGCUUUGACGGGUAGCCGGCCUGAGAGGGUGGGCGGUCACACUGGGACUGAGAUACGGCCCAGACUCCUGCGGGAGGCAGCAGUGGGGGGUAUUGCACAAUGGGCGGAAGCCUGAUGCAGCGACGUCGCGUGAGGGAUGGAGGCCUUCGGGUUGUGAACCUCUUUCGCCCGGUGAAGAAGGUCCUGUUUCUUUGUGGUGGGGCUGACGGAAGCCCGGGUAA